ACGAAAAGGAGUGUUAUCUUAAGCCAAUGAAAUUCUAAUCCUGUAUUAUAUGAAAAAAUGAAGAAAGCUAUCCAAUUCUCGGAUAGAAACUAUUUUUUCGGACGGGAUUCGUAUGUUCAUUUCGCAUGAUAACUCUUGCUACAGGCCUUUUUUUGGCGUAGCCUCGCGGAUUCCU
This 175-nucleotide non-coding RNA is filed under the name Listeria monocytogenes. RNAcentral describes it as "rli53". It matches the Rfam family "Listeria sRNA rli53". The record is from RNAcentral. RNAcentral also lists the same sequence under 1 other name. Lineage: Bacteria; Bacillati; Bacillota; Bacilli; Caryophanales; Listeriaceae.